GUUGGAUGUUGAAUGUUGGAAGACUUUGCGAGAAACUCGAGCAAGGAAUAGAUUAACACAUUGAACUAGGUUCUGUUGGGCUGGGUUUCCUCCUUUGUGGAGGUGGCCCAUUAGUUUCUAUUUAAUUAUUAAUUAAAUAAAGUAAAGCCUAUAUGAAUUAGGUUUAUAUGAAAGAUUUAGAGAUAUUUUUAUUCUAAAAAGUAUCAAGCAUUAAAGGGUUUUAACCCUUUUUAAUGUGACAACCGUACACACUAAGAAAAAAGUGAGAAGAAAAAUGUAAAAUUUGAAAAAAGAGGUAUAGUUUAAUUUUGAUCAUGAGGUUCUUUAGAAUUCGAUUUGUGGUUUGAUUUACUUGAAAUUUGACCAUCGUGUUUACAACACAUAAUUCUACAAUCUAAAUAGUGUAGAUUAGUUUUGGAGCUUUAUGUUAACAGGUUCUACUCGAUGAGAUCUCUUCUAUUUCAUAUUGCAAUUGUUUAGUUUCGAAAGUGGUUAUUCUUGAUGAUAUAUUUGCUAUGUAUCUCUAGUUAAUGACAAUUAGAGAAGAUUUUCGUAUGUUUCCAUUAUUUAUUUGAUAGUGAAAGUUUUGGAUGAACUCCGCUUCUAUGAUUUUUACUCUUAGCAUUGAAGGAGUUUUUUAUGGAAAAAUUUAAUAUUUUUAUGAUUGAUUGAUUAUUGCACUUAUUUUAUAUUACUCUAUAUUUUUUUUAUUGGUGUUCUUGGAAGGAAGGCCUUUGAUGCCGUCUCUCGUGCGUUCUCUAAGUAGAAGAUAAGGGUAAAUUUAUUAUACUACAUUUGAUGUUAAAUAUUUUAUCUGUAAAUAAGUUUUGUAUUCCAUCAUUAAAAAUUUUACCAUCAAUUAAGAACAGGACUUUAGACUUCUCUCCAUCGAGUCUCUAUCACACAAGUAUUUGCAUCUGAAACUGUGAAAUGAGGAACAACAUACUCCAACAUAUAUGAGAAUACACUGAUAAUUGAUUAUUAUACAUAUAUUAUUCAUGUUUAAACAUAAAACAAAAUUUAUUCUAGAAUCCAAAGGACCCAACUCUCCUUAGAGUACUACUGCCAGAGUGCGAUUUUGUUCACCCCCUUUAACGGGGGUGAACAAAAUUGCACUCCUACUGCCACACCAUUCUCUCUCUUAAUUAGUAAUAGAUACACUUUAGGUUUUGCCUAAACCAACCAAUAUCACCAAACCACACAGCAAACAGACAUGCUUUUCCAGUUCAGAUUCUUGUCCACAGACGACGGCGAAUCCUCUGUAAAUUAACCCUUCAAUUUUGAACCCAAAAUUACAAACCUCUGUGAUUCUAGUUCGUGAUCAAUCUUCGGAAUCUUCGCCAUAGACCCUCGAAUACUGAGGUUCAGUCCCAGCAUCUGGUGCAUGGAAAAUCAACGUCUCAGUCAUGGGAAACUCAACGCCCAAAUGAAUAUGGUGCGGACCAGCCGAAUAAACCGUCAUCUCAAGAUCAUCCUUGCGCCACAACAGCCAUAUCCCACCGGUGAAGCCUUCAGGAUCGGUAACAAACGGAUGGGGAAAACCAAUUUCCUCGGCAACUUGAUCCCCGUAGCUAGCGGAAGCCCUUGUUUCCAAAAGAAGUACGAUGGAUGGCUGGUAUUGCCGGCAGAGAUCCUUGAUAGUACGCAAGAACCUGGCGUGCCCAGCUCCACGGCAACUCCAAAUUAGAAGUUUCUUUGGGGGCUUCUGAAUCGAAUACUCCGUGUGAUCAAUCAUUUUAGGUAUGAAGCAUAUGUUGUGCCGGUUUAUGUUCCAAUAACAGAAUCCCGACAUGUUCACUUCCAUGUCAAGUCUGGGAAUCUUUGAAUCGAUGGCGACCACUUUCGGAUUGUUUCGUUCGACGAUGAGUUUCUCCAAGUCAACAGCUGGACUG
This is a long non-coding RNA of Diospyros lotus (date-plum), 1892 nucleotides long. RefSeq lists it as uncharacterized. The transcript has 3 exons. Lineage: Eukaryota; Viridiplantae; Streptophyta; Magnoliopsida; Ericales; Ebenaceae. The record is from RefSeq and is a predicted model, not a curated record.